RNAcentral lists this ribosomal RNA (421 nucleotides) under uncultured bacterium. Its description in RNAcentral is "bacterial SSU rRNA". It matches the Rfam family "Bacterial small subunit ribosomal RNA", at positions 358 to 796 of the family's 1533-position model. The record is from RNAcentral.
GGAAUCUUGGACAAUGGGCGAAAGCCUGAUCCAGCAAUGCCGCGUGUGUGAAGAAGGCCUGCGGGUUGUAAAGCACUUUCAGUGGGGAAGAUUAUGACGGUACCCACAGAAGAAGCACCGGCUAACUCCGUGCCAGCAGCCGCGGUAAUACGGAGGGUGCAAGCGUUAAUCGGAAUUACUGGGCGUAAAGCGUGCGUAGGCGGCCGCUUAAGUCUGAUGUGAAAGCCCCGGGCUUAACCUGGGAAUGGCAUUGGAGACUGGGCGGCUAGAGUGCGAUAGAGGAUGGUGGAAUUCCCGGUGUAGCGGUGAAAUGCGUAGAGAUCGGGAGGAACACCUGUGGCGAAGGCGACCAUCUGGGUCUGCACUGACGCUCAGGCACGAAAGCGUGGGGAGCAAACAGGAUUAGAUACCCCGGUAGUCC